GAUGAACGCUAGCGACAGGCCUAACACAUGCAAGUCGAGGGGCAUCAGGGAAGUAGCUUGCUACUUUUGCUGGCGACCGGCGCACGGGUGAGUAACGCGUAUGCAACCUACCUACUACAGGGGGGAUAGCCCGGAGAAAUUCGGAUUAAUACCGCAUAAAACAGGGGUUCCGCAUGGGAAUAUUUGUUAAAGAUUUAUCGGUAGUAGAUGGGCAUGCGUUCCAUUAGCUAGUUGGUAAGGUAACGGCUUACCAAGGCAACGAUGGAUAGGGGAACUGAGAGGUUGAUCCCCCACACUGGUACUGAGACACGGACCAGACUUCUACGGGAGGCAGCAGUGAGGAAUAUUGGUCAAUGGACGAGAGUCUGAACCAGCCAAGUCGCGUGAAGGAAGACGGUUCUAUGGAUUGUAAACUUCUUUUGUACUGGGGUAAAACUGCCACGUGUGCAUUUUGCAAGUACAGUACGAAUAGCAUCGGCUAACUCCGUGCCAGCCGCCGC
RNAcentral lists this ribosomal RNA (500 nucleotides) under uncultured Dysgonomonas sp. RNAcentral's name for it is "bacterial SSU rRNA". It matches the Rfam family "Bacterial small subunit ribosomal RNA", at positions 28 to 518 of the family's 1533-position model. Lineage: Bacteria; Pseudomonadati; Bacteroidota; Bacteroidia; Bacteroidales; Dysgonomonadaceae. The record is from RNAcentral.